UACGUAGGGGGCAAGCGUUAUCCGGAUUUACUGGGUGUAAAGGGAGCGUAGGCGGCUUAGUAAGUCAGAAGUGAAAGCCCGGGGCUCAACUCCGGGACUGCUUUUGAAACUGUGUGACUGGAGUGCAGGAGAGGUAAGCGGAAUUCCUGGUGUAGCGGUGAAAUGCGUAGAUAUCAGGAGGAACACCAGUGGCGAAGGCGGCUUACUGGACGGUAACUGACGCUGAGGCAUGAGAGCAUGGGGAGCAAACAGG
Molecule: ribosomal RNA, 253 nt
Filed under: uncultured Eubacteriales bacterium
Lineage: Bacteria; Bacillati; Bacillota; Clostridia; Eubacteriales
Description: uncultured Clostridiales bacterium partial 16S ribosomal RNA
Rfam family: Bacterial small subunit ribosomal RNA
Source: RNAcentral